CAUCACUACGCUAGAUGCAUAUCAAUAAGCGGAGGAAAAGAAACUAAUAAGGAUUCCCUUAGUAACGGCGAGUGAAGCGGGAAGAGCUCAAAUUUGAAAUCUUCAAGGUUUUACCUUGACGAAUUGUAGUUUAAAGAAGUGUUUUCUGUUGGAGUUUUGGUAAAAGUUCUUUGGAAUAGGACAUCAUAGAGGGUGAGAAUCCCGUAUUUGACCAUUAUUUCCAGCUGUGUGAUACACCUUCAAAGAGUCGGAUUGUUUGGGAAUGCAGUCCAAAAUGGGUGGUAAAUUUCAUCUAAAGCUAAAUAUUGGCGAGAGACCGAUAGCGAACAAGUACCGUGAGGGAAAGAUGAAAAGAACUUUGAAAAGAGAGUUAAACAGUACGUGAAAUUGUCAAAAGGGAAGCGUUUGACACCAGUGUUGUUUUCUCGAAAAUCAAUUAAAAAUGGCUGGAUGCUAAGUUGCUAAGACUUUGUCAGCUUGUUUCUUAGUUUUCUUGUCUUUUUAAAUGCACUUUUCGUUUAACAAGUCAACAUCAAUUUCUUUUGCUGUAAAAGGGUAAGAGGAAGGUGGCUUUGACUUCGGUUAAAGUGUUUAUAGCCUUUUACCUUCUGCAGUCGGAGAGAUUGAGGUCUGCAGCGUAGACUCCUUCGGGGUUAGAUACAUUUGUGCUAAGUUAUAGCUUUUCAUAGACAACUUGUUGACUAUGUUAAGUCUUGUAAUUUACUCGCAGAUACUAUUUUACCUACGCUUAGGAUGUUGACGAGACUGUCGAUCUC
Molecule: ribosomal RNA, 776 nt
Filed under: uncultured Neocallimastigales
Lineage: Eukaryota; Fungi; Neocallimastigomycota; Neocallimastigomycetes; Neocallimastigales
Description: partial large subunit ribosomal RNA
Rfam family: Eukaryotic large subunit ribosomal RNA
Source: RNAcentral